AGGAUUCCCCGAGUAGCGGCGAGCGAAACGGGAGAAGCCCAGCGCCGAAGCCCUCCGUCCCCGGCGGAAGUGCAAUGUGGCGUUACGGUGGCACGCUCGCCGCGGCUUCCCAGGCACGAGUACCUCUGAACGGGUCGGCCCACAGCGGGUGUCAGGCCUCUACAUUCAGCCAAUUGGGUCGUCGCGGCACGCCGUCACCGCGGAGUCGGGUUGCUUGAGAGUGCAGCCCUAAGUGGCAGGUAAGCUCCUGCUAAGGCUAAAUACCUAGUGGCACACCGAUAGCAAACAAGUACCGUGAGGGAAAGUUGAAAAGAACUUU
RNAcentral lists this ribosomal RNA (319 nucleotides) under Membranipora membranacea. RNAcentral's name for it is "eukaryotic LSU rRNA". It matches the Rfam family "Eukaryotic large subunit ribosomal RNA", at positions 71 to 377 of the family's 3401-position model. The record is from RNAcentral. Lineage: Eukaryota; Metazoa; Bryozoa; Gymnolaemata; Cheilostomatida; Membraniporidae.